Molecule: long non-coding RNA, 434 nt
Organism: Oncorhynchus nerka (sockeye salmon)
Lineage: Eukaryota; Metazoa; Chordata; Actinopteri; Salmoniformes; Salmonidae
Exons: 3
Source: RefSeq, a predicted model, not a curated record
GAUCCUGUACCCCAGGCUGGGACCCUCCAAGCUAGCGCUGGAGAGCAGGUGCUCCAGAAAGACGUCAUUUCCGCUGGCCAUGAUGGAGUAAGGCUGCCAGCCCUGGGAGACUGCCCCAAGGACAGCCCUCUAAAUGCUGGGACCCUCCAAGCUAGCGCUGGAGAGCAGGUGCUCCAGACUGACGUCAUUUCCGCUGGCCAUGAUGGAGUAAGGCUGCCAGCCCUGGGAGACUGCCCCAAGGACAGCCCUCUAAAUAACCUUGUGCCGAAGCCCCCACAAGGCCCCAGGCCCAGCCGAGAGGCCAAUAUACCAAAGGCAGAAAAGAAGGCCAGAGAUGUUAUCAAGGCUAAAAAGUCUAGGGAGGCUAAGUCAGAGGUGAUAUACGUAAGCCGCCAAGUAGUUGGUGUGUUGGCACUGCCUCAAACGCUUCUAUC